RNAcentral lists this ribosomal RNA (540 nucleotides) under uncultured bacterium. Its description in RNAcentral is "bacterial SSU rRNA". It matches the Rfam family "Bacterial small subunit ribosomal RNA", at positions 355 to 896 of the family's 1533-position model. The record is from RNAcentral.
UGAGGAAUAUUGGUCAAUGGGCGAGAGCCUGAACCAGCCAAGUAGCGUGCAGGAUGACGGCCCUCCGGGUUGUAAACUGCUUUUAGUUGGGAAUAAAAAAAGGGACUUGUCCCUUCUUGUAUGUACCUUCAGAAAAAGGACCGGCUAAUUCCGUGCCAGCAGCCGCGGUAAUACGGAAGGUCCAGGCGUUAUCCGGAUUUAUUGGGUUUAAAGGGAGCGUAGGCGGAUUGUUAAGUCAGCGGUUAAAGGGUGUGGCUCAACCAUGCAUUGCCGUUGAAACUGGCGAUCUUAAGUGCAGACAGGGAUGCCGGAAUUCGUGGUGUAGCGGUGAAAUGCUUAGAUAUCACGAAGAACUCCGAUCGCGAAGGCAGGUGUCCGGGCUGCAACUGACGCUGAGGCUCGAAAGUGUGGGUAUCAAACAGGAUUAGAUACCCUGGUAGUCCACACAGUAAACGAUGUAUACUCGCGGUUUGCGAUAGACAGUAAGCCGCCAAGCGAAAGCAUUAAGUAUACCACCUGGGGAGUACGCCGGCAACGGUG